AACGAACGCUGGCGGCAGGCCUAACACAUGCAAGUCGAACGCACCGCAAGGUGAGUGGCGCACGGGUGAGUAACACGUGGGAAUGUACCCUUUGGUUCGGAAUAACGUUUGGAAACGAACGCUAAUACCGGAUGAGCCCUGCGGGGGAAAGAUUUAUCGCCAAAGGAGCAGCCCGCGUCUGAUUAGCUAGUUGGUGGGGUAAAGGCCUACCAAGGCGACGAUCAGUAGCUGGUCUGAGAGGAUGAUCAGCCACACUGGGACUGAGACACGGCCCAGACUCCUACGGGAGGCAGCAGUGGGGAAUAUUGGACAAUGGGCGCAAGCCUGAUCCAGCCAUGCCGCGUGAGUGAUGAAGGCCUUCGGGUUGUAAAGCUCUUUCGCACGCGACGAUGAUGACGGUAGCGUGAGAAGAAGCCCCGGCUAACUUCGUGCCAGCAGCCGCG
Molecule: ribosomal RNA, 443 nt
Filed under: uncultured bacterium
Lineage: Bacteria
Description: bacterial SSU rRNA
Rfam family: Bacterial small subunit ribosomal RNA
Source: RNAcentral